RNAcentral lists this ribosomal RNA (242 nucleotides) under uncultured bacterium. RNAcentral describes it as "partial 16S ribosomal RNA". It matches the Rfam family "Bacterial small subunit ribosomal RNA", at positions 29 to 253 of the family's 1533-position model. The record is from RNAcentral.
AACGAACGCUGGCGGCGUGCCUAACACAUGCAAGUCGAGCGGGAAAGUUCCCUUCGGGGAGCGAGUACAGCGGCGAACGGGUGAGUAACACGUAGGUAACCUACCCUGGAGUCCGGGAUAACCUGCCGAAAGGCGGGCUAAUACCAGAUAAGACCACGAGGGCUGCGGCCCUUGGGGCAAAAGAUGGCCUCUGCUUGCAUGCUAUCACUCCGGGAUGGGCCUGCGCGCCAUUAGCAGUUGGU